Molecule: ribosomal RNA, 422 nt
Filed under: uncultured bacterium
Lineage: Bacteria
Description: bacterial SSU rRNA
Rfam family: Bacterial small subunit ribosomal RNA
Source: RNAcentral
UGAGGAAUAUUGGGCAAUGCCCGCAAGGGUGACCCAGCAACGCCGCGUGGAGGAUGAAUGUCGUAAGAUUGUAAACUCCUGUUAGAGGGGAAGAAUAGUACCGGUUGGACCGGUAUAUGACUGUACCCUCAGAGAAAGCCCCGGCUAACUACGUGCCAGCAGCCGCGGUAAUACGUAGGGGGCAAGCGUUGUCCGGAUUUACUGGGUGUAAAGGGCGCGCAGGCGGAAUGGAAAGUCAGUGGUGAAAUCCUACAGCUUAACUGUAGAACUGCCUUUGAUGCUUUCAUUCUUGAGUUCGGGAGAGAGAGACGGAAUUCCAGGUGUAGUGGUGAAAUACGUAGAUAUCUGGAAGAACACCAGUUGCGAAGGCGGUCUCUUGGUCCGAUACUGACGCUGAGGCGCGAAAGCGUGGGGAGCAAACA